RNAcentral lists this ribosomal RNA (253 nucleotides) under uncultured bacterium. RNAcentral describes it as "partial 16S ribosomal RNA". It matches the Rfam family "Bacterial small subunit ribosomal RNA", at positions 524 to 776 of the family's 1533-position model. The record is from RNAcentral.
UACGUAGGGGGCUAGCGUUGUCCGGAUUUAUUGGGCGUAAAGAGCGUGUAGGCGGCCAGAUAGGUCCGUUGUGAAAACCCGAGGCUUAACCUCGGGACGUCGAUGGAAACCAUUUGGCUAGAGUCCGGAAGAGGAGAGUGGAAUUCCUGGUGUAGCGGUGAAAUGCGCAGAUAUCAGGAAGAACACCCGUGGCGAAGGCGGCUCUCUGGGACGGUACUGACGCUGAGACGCGAAAGCGUGGGGAGCGAACAGG